GCAUUAUAUAAGCUUUAAAGCGGUAGAUUGUAAAUCUACAGAAGAGUUGGUUUAUAGUUUCUUAAACUGCA
Molecule: transfer RNA, 71 nt
Filed under: Armadillidium vulgare (common pillbug)
Lineage: Eukaryota; Metazoa; Arthropoda; Malacostraca; Isopoda; Armadillidiidae
Description: tRNA-Tyr
Source: RNAcentral